GGCGAGGUAGCUCAGUGGUAGAGCACUGGUCUGAAAAACCAGGUGUCGUCAGUUCGAUCCUGACCCUCGCCA
Molecule: transfer RNA, 72 nt
Filed under: Elusimicrobiota bacterium
Lineage: Bacteria; Pseudomonadati; Elusimicrobiota
Description: Elusimicrobia bacterium (groundwater metagenome) tRNA-Phe
Rfam family: tRNA
About the family: Transfer RNA (tRNA) molecules are approximately 80 nucleotides in length.
Source: RNAcentral